RNAcentral lists this ribosomal RNA (485 nucleotides) under uncultured bacterium. RNAcentral describes it as "partial 16S ribosomal RNA". It matches the Rfam family "Bacterial small subunit ribosomal RNA", at positions 899 to 1397 of the family's 1533-position model. The record is from RNAcentral.
ACUCAAAUGAAUUGACGGGGGCCCGCACAAGCGGCGGAGCGUGCGGUUUAAUUCGACGCAACGCGUAGAACCUUACCAGGGCUUGACAUGCACCUGCAGAGCCGUGAAAGCGGUUGGCCUUCGAGGGUGGUGCACAGGUGCUGCAUGGCUGUCGUCAGCUCGUGUCGUGAGAUGUUGGGUUAAGUCCCGCAACGAGCGCAACCCUCGUGGUUAGUUGCCGAUGUUUCUAGCCAGACUGCCGGUAGCAAGCCGGAGGAAGGUGGGGAUGACGUCAAGUCAGCAUGGCCCUUACGUCCUGGGCUACACGCACGCUACAAUGGCCGGGACAAUGGGCUGCCAAACCGCAAGGUGGAGCGAAUCCCACAAACCCGGUCUCAGUUCAGAUCGCGGGCUGCAACUCGCCCGCGUGAAGGUGGAGUCGCUAGUAACCGCAGGUCAGCACUACUGCGGUGAAUACGUUCCCGGGCCUUGUACACACCGCCCGU